ACCUGCAUGACCAUUUCCAACGGAGACUGGUUUAUCAGUACGAGGGUCCCAGACGCGAACUUUCUUAUCUCGAGAAGUUGUUACAAGUCUGGUACCAUCAGCGUUGAACGACAUAGACUGGCACAUUACAUCCAUUUUCAGAGAUACAUGGGCUACACCCUUCUCACAAUCCCACAACUUGAUAGUAUUGUCUGCACUAGAAGAUGCCAAAACAUUCGCUGCAGUGGGAUGAUAUUGAACAAGACCAACUUUACUAUACAAAAAAGUCAGUAACUAAAACCCUAAUGCAAUGUACGACAUACCGGCUAUGGCCCUUUAAUUCAGCAAUUGGAUGAACAUCUUCAUAAGGCUCCAUAACAGUAUAAUCUUCUGGUACUUUCCAUAUCAUAAUCUAAUUCGUUAAUACAUAAAUAAAGUCAAAUAGCAGGAUACCUUAGAAUCAUCACCGCCGGAUGCUAAUACUUGAUCAUGGAAGGGAUUCCAAUCAGUAUCUAAAACAGCCGCAGUAUGGCCCCGAAACAAAUUAACUUGAUCGGGAAGCUUUCCUCUUUCGUUUAAAGGGAUAACUGCCAAUGCACCUCCAGCUCCCGCAUUCCAAUUAACACUGAGGUAAAAGGGGUUCACACUCAAUAGGUUAGAAUCCCAUGCAUUAUUGCUAAGCUAUUGAAGACAAUUAGUAAAUUUCAAACCAUUAAAGUAUCGACCAACCUUUAUGUUGUCGUAGCAAAGUUCUUUUUUGCAGGUUUGUCCAAAGAUAUGUCCUAACGUCAGUUAAUAAUUAUUUACUCAAAAAGCAUGCGUACUAUAUUUACUAGCUCUCACAAAUCUUCCACUCAUUUUUGAAAAAGAAUAAUUCCUUUAUAAGAUCGAAUGAGAAUUUGCUAAUUGAGCUAACUUUAUCCGGGGUGUCAGGUAAUGAACAAAGUCGGGAUCGGAAUAGGAAGGAGGACGGAUGAGAAUGACAAGCACCUAAAGUUGUACUGGUCGUUGAAAAUAACCAAUAUUAUUGAUAGUAGAUAUUAAAAUAUUUAAAUUUUGGAAAAAGCAGUUCAUUAUGAGGAAUUGUUUGAAUUUUUAUAAGGUGCCUUUAUAGAUUUUAUUAAACUAGAUAUCAC
Non-coding RNA from Schizosaccharomyces pombe (fission yeast), 1115 nucleotides. Lineage: Eukaryota; Fungi; Ascomycota; Schizosaccharomycetes; Schizosaccharomycetales; Schizosaccharomycetaceae. The record is from the annotation of a GenBank genome assembly.